GCAGAAGAUGAUCUGCAGCAUCCUGCUGCUCAUCAACCUGACCUCCUGUGUCUGUGGAACAUUUGUAGUGAAUGUGACACAGACCUCCUAUCAGGCAGAGAAGAACCAUAACAUCACACUGGAAUGGACGUUCACAACCAACACUGACAGUUCCCUCAAUUCUCUUUAUAUCUACUGUAAACUGUUUACUGAUCACAAGGUUUCAGUCCUGUUUCAUCUACAUGAAGGUGUCGAGGUCUCAGAGUCUCAGGAUGAACAGUUUGCAGGACGAGUCCACUGCGACAAAGACGUCCUCAGAGAAGGACGAAUCAGACUUCUUGUGUCCAGACUCAGGACUGAAGACUCGGGCCUGUACCUGUGUAAAGUGCUCACAAAGUAUGAUGUCAGCACUGGCAAAUGUCAGCUCAGUGUCACUGCAGCAGCUGCUAAUAAGCCCAAAUCUCAGAGACCAACAGAGAGUCCACAACCAGAGAGUCCACAACCAGAGACUCGGGGAAGGAUCAGCCUCUAUGCUGGACUGGCAGCAGUAGCUUUACUGGCUGUCUGCUUUACCUUCAGUCUUUGUUUCACUAAAUCUACUGAUAAGGCAGUAAAAAAAUUGAAAAGCACAAACACUGAGAAUGGACUUGAAGUGGACUUGAAAAAUGUUUCCAUAGUCACAGAAUCUGGACUUUUCCAUAAGGGAGCAGGAGUUGUUCAUUUUAAGAAUCUUAAACAAGGCAAUUGA
RNAcentral lists this long non-coding RNA (727 nucleotides) under Dicentrarchus labrax (European seabass). Its description in RNAcentral is "lncRNA (ENSDLAG00005034050.1)". The record is from RNAcentral. Lineage: Eukaryota; Metazoa; Chordata; Actinopteri; Moronidae.